GCGUGUCGCUCGGUCUGAAUUGCACCGUAAUCGCCAAAACCUUGGCCUAAUUUGCAGCUAAUAGAUCUCGAGCGAGGGAGUCGGGAAGAAACCAGUGGCUUUGGAGGGAUCGGAAAUUAAGGGACUAGAAGAAGGAUGUGAUUCCUAUUAUUCUCCCCCUCCCCCUCCUGCACACGACCAUGUGUCUCCUGGCUGGGCCUUUGGGGACGCGGCCCCUGGCCCUCCGUGGCCUGUGUUCCUGUUGUUCGCUUCUCUCCCAGCGGACCACUGUGUCUGGGGCGCCGCGCCCUCCGGUGCGCUCAGACCUCGCGCCCUCCGACCGGCUUCUCCCAGUCCCCGGGAGGAGGCGCUGUGCCCGGGCUGGCCUCUGGUCCCUCCCAGCCGAUGUCCUGGAGCCCCCAUUCACAAAACCCCUCCUGGAAGAGGACACACACCCACCCACCCACACACACACACACACACCCCACACACGCACUACGAGAAGGGGAGUUUGAUCUUGUCUCAUUGGCGUCUCGGGUCUGAAAGGAAAAUCGUUUGGGUAAACAGCCAAGCUUCCAGGCUUAACGCCCGGCUCCCGCCCCCGCCCCUCCAUCCCCUCCUGCCUCCCCCACUCGCCUUCAACCCCACCCGCCACCCACACUCGGCUCCGCAGCCGGGCCCCGAGCGAGCUCCGCGAGUCCUGGCGAGAGCCGAGGGCUCCCCGGGUUCAAAGGGCCGCAGCCCCGAGGGAACGCCCUCCUUGCUGUGCCCCGGGGGGCAGAAGCGGACUGCUGGGCGGUGGGACCGGCCUGGGCCACGCUCCGCGCCCCUCCCAGCCUUCCCGCCCUUAGCCGGGAAAGGACGCUGAGAUGACAUCACCACAGAGACCCGCGGCCUCCCCGCCCCCGGCCCCGGGACCCCGGAGCGGAGAUUGACAGGUGUCGCUCGUUAGGACAAUGCCUUCCAGGCUUAGUAAUUCUGACUUUUGAAAUCUCCUGUCGUGAACAAAUCUACACUGCACUUUAUUUCUUGCCCCGUCCUGGAAUUCAGCCACUCCUGCACUACAUUUCUUAAGGUGAAGAAGUGAAAGACGAAGACACCAAUCCAAGUGAACGUGUGUUAUUCUCUUCUAUAAUGCUAUUGUAUUAUAUUCCCUCUUUUUUUUAAAUUCUCUUGAUUUCUCUGCACAAAAGAGGGAAAUUCUUCCAAAGCAACGGAAAGUUUCCUUGAAAUACUUUUAUCUAGUCACACUUACAUAGUGUAAUGUCUCUCUCUUACAGCAUUGUACAGUUUGGGAUUUGUUUUUAAUCCUGUGGAAAAUGUCCUAACAGGGCUUUGGUGUAUCUUUGUUCCAAUUUCUACAUUGCUUGGGGAGGGGGAGAAGCUUUCUUUGUAUUAAAUGAAAUACACCACUACUUCAUUAAAUAAAUAGACACCUCAACCAUUAGUUGCUAAUGAAACAAAAAUCUAAGUAAAACAUCUAACUAUCCAAAUACUACAUUUUCUCUACCUUUGCCCCAAAAUGUGCCUCAUCUCCCUGCACCUCCAAAUAAUAUUUCUAGUGUUUUCAUUUUAUUAGUUUUGCAAUGUCACUGUCCAGAUAGAAUUAUUCGAUGACUUAAAACAACUUUCGUAAGAUUUUCAAGCCCUAAAUUAAAAAAUCAUAUUUCAAUACAACAGAUCUUGUCAUUUAUUUAUUGGGAUGUGUGUGAGAGGGACCUGCUGCUUCGUGCUCGUCCAGUACAUUGGCUUUGAAAUAUACUUGAAUUUGUGGAGGCAGGGUGUAGAAUGACAAAAACAAACAAAAACCCCACAAUACAGACCAAAUUGGGGUACACACGGACAGAUUGGUUUUAAUUUUAUUUUAAUUUUUGAGUUUCUAUGAGAAGAAGAAUGAGGAGAGACAAAAAAGGGGAAGAGUGAGAGAUAGUAUAUUUAGGGUAUGACAAAUUGGGAAUGGCUCUGCAGUGAUCUUUUUCUUUUUCUUAUUUAUUUUUUGUUUUUUUUGGUUUUUUUUUGAGACACAGUCUCGCUCUGUCACCCAAGCUGGAGGGCAGUGAUCCUGGCUCACCGCAACCUCUGCCUCCCGGGUUCAAGCGAUUCUCUUGCCUCAGCCUCCCAAGUAGCUGGGACUACAGGUGCGUGCCACCAUGCCCGGCUAUUUAUUUAUUUAUUUACUUUCAUUUUUAUUUUUAGUAAAGAUAGGGUUUGGCCGUGAUGUCUGGGCUGGUCUCAAACUCCUGAUCUCAGGUAAUCCACCUGCCUCGGCCUCCCAAAGUGCUGGGAUUACAGGCUUGAGCCACCACUGCGCCCCACUCUGAUCUCUUUUUCUGCCCUUCUUCUCUACCUUCUUCCUUCCCUUCCUUCCUCUUUUCCUGCCUUCCUCCUUCCCUCCCUCUCUUCCUUCUUUUUUUCACUGUCAUCAAAGGUUAUUGAGCCCCUCCCAAGUGUAAAUAUUGUGCUAGGCACCAGGGUACAGUGAAAAGAUAGAUAUGAUCCCUGGACUUGCAGAGCAGAACCAGGCAGCCAAAAGCAUGUGUGUUAGGAGUCAUCCAGGGGGAGCCAUAGAUGCAUGGGCAAGGAGCACGUGCGGCUGUGAGGGUUUCCUGUGGGAAAUGAUGCUAAAGACAGUGUGUGAAAGAUGGAUGGAAGUGGCCAGGGGAAGGAAUUAUUAGGGGAAGUUAAAGAAAUCAUCCCCAAACCAGAAGGUGCUCACCACAGAGGAGCUGAAGGAAGUCCCGCAGGGCCGAUGGGCAGGGCUCCAGGUGGAAAGUUCUCCAGCAAGGCUAUCCAGGCUUGGAGUGCUGGUCAUUACUUUGAAAACAAAACUAAUGCCAGAACUCAGAAACCUAGUUGGGGGAGAGAGGGUGUUCUUUUUCCUAAAUCUAGCGAAGAUUAGGUACAAUUGGAAUCAUUAUAAUAAAAUUAUCUGACAUAGCUACAGAACUCCAAAGAGGAGAAAGUUAGAAAUUUGAGAAUCUACUAAAUGUCUGCAUCCCUGUCCCCUCUCCCUAAAUGAGGACGUGAACAUGUGACAUGGGCAUUCCAGUGGGAUGAGCUGAGUGCACUGGAGGCUACUGGGGUUGUGAAUUGGCAAAGAGGCUGACCAGGUGCAGGGAGAUUUGUUUUCAAGGGCUCUCCUCUCAGCAUUAGGGACAUACAACAGGGAUAACAUAGAAAACACUUUUUCAGGUACUUGAUACUUUAAAUUUAAUUUUAAUUAAAAUAACUGUUUCUAGAGACAGGGUCUUACUCUGUCACCCAGGCUGGAGUACAGUGACACAAUCACAGCUCACCGCAGCCUUAAACUCCUGGGCUCAAGUGAUCCUCCCAAGUAGCCUGGACUACAGGCAUGCACCACCACACCCAGCUAAUUUUUAUUUUUUAUUUUUGCAGGUAGGGGUUGCCCAGGCUGGCCUCAUACUCCUGUCCUCAAGCUGUCCACCCAUUUUGGUCUCCCAAAGUGCUGGGAUUAUAGGCGUGAGCCACUGCGCCCAGCCUUAAUACUUUUAAACUUUCUCUCGAUCUCUCUCUCGCUUUCUCAUUUGGUAGCCAAAGCCAUAAAAGUCAUAAAAAUUAAGCAAUUUGAGAUUUCCCACCCAGGGGAAGGGUCACUCUGUUGACAAUGAGAGGAAAUUAAAGGUUGGGGUCAUGUUCUCUUUGCCCAUCCUUCUAUUAAUGCAGAAAGAUAAUUGCAUGGCUCUGAUUGCAUGGAGAGAUAAACGCCCAAUCCCCCUCCACUCUUCCUUCGCCACGUCUCCAGGACUGACAGCAGACCAAGGGACAUUUGGCUUCAAGUGGGGAAGAAAAUUUGCUGGAAAAGGCCUCCUCAGAGCUGGGCAUAGCUCUGUCUGAUGGAGGCCUGACUUGCUUCUAAAAAGAGUGUGGUCUGGAUCCAUCCCCUUUUCCCAAAUCAUUUUAAAUCUUGCUGAAUCAGUUCAAUUUGAAGUCUAAUCAACUAUCUGCUUAUCUCUCUUAGUUGAGCCUUCAAUGUCUUUUUCUGUUUGGACUAACAAAGUGAAAUGGUUAGAAGGACUAUCAAGCAUACAGAUUUUCUUUUGCAAAAGUAGGGAUAUAUUCUGGGGCUUAGUUGAGGGAGUCAGUGUAGGCUCCUCAAGCCAUCAUCCAGUUUCUGACUUUAGCACUUUUUUUUUUUUUUUUUUUGUAGAAUUUCACUCUUGUUGCCCAGGCUGGAAUGCAAUGGCACAAUCUCAGCUCACUGCAACCUCCACCUCCCAGGUUCAAGUGAUUCUCCUGCCUCAGCCUCCCAAGUAGCUGGAAUUACAGGCAUGUGCCACCAUGCCUGGCUAAUUUUUUGUAUUUAGUAGAGAUGGGUUUUCACCAUGUUGGUCAGGCUGGUCUCAGGGUCAGGAUGAUAUGUGUUAAUUCAGAUUCAAAGAGGCACAUCUUUUAUUUUGAAGUGAACUUUACAUAACAGCAACUUGAACUGGACAGCAAUGCUUGUGGAAUCACCCUGGGCAGGUAAUGCGCUUAUCAGGCCUGGACACCACCAUAUUCCUCUGUAUCCCUACAUAUUCCCCAGAACCCCUUUUGGCGUCUUUUGCAGAGAAAGUUCUCAAAACUGAAUUAAGUGGCUGAUCCAGCACAGCGGAGGGCAUCUAAGGAUGCCAGAAUACCCAGCCCCAGUGUCCAUGUCUGAACCUUGCCUCUAAUCCCUUUCCUAGUUCCAGUUUCAGAUAGAAAAACAUUCCAUAACAGGGGUCGUCAAUUUGGAAUAGCAAUGAUGACAACAAUAAUGUAAUAAUGACCUAGACUGAGCACUCACUAUGCAUUAGACUGUGCUAAGCAUUAUUAUUGUAUAUAAUCCUUACAGAAUCUGGAGGCAAAAUGUUCCUAUUUCACAUUUCUUAUUUCUAUUUCACAACAAGGAAACUGAGCCUUAGGGAAGAACUGUUCAGUCACAGAGUUAGAGAAAGGUGAACCCCAGACCCCACGUCGAGUUAGUCUGAUUCUGGGGACUGUGUCGUUAGUCAUUACCCAGACUCAGAAGCCUGAACCUUAAGGCACAGAAGGUUCUAGAGACGAAGAGAAAUUUUUCUGGGCUGUAUUACACUCAAAGCAAAUUUAGGGUGAGAGGCCUGUCCAAGGGAUUGAUUAUUUUCUUGUUUCCUUUGUUCUUCCUUUCCUUUGUGUCACAACUCUUUAUUGAAUUGUGCCAGGAAUUAUGACAGACACCUGAGUGGGGUAAGGAGGCUAAAGAAGAAAGACUCUGCUCAUUCGGAUCCCCUGCCCUCUUUCCAUUCUUCUUCCCACGGGACUAAUGAUCUGAACAAUCCUAAAACCUGGCUGUAGUCAUGUCUUUGGGGGACUCCUGCAGACCCCUGUCUCCUACAGUUCAACUUCUCAAGCCUACUUUGUAAUUCCUAGGCAGAAUUCGGAGCUCUGCUGUCAUCUUUUAGUCUUUCACUUAUUCAAAAUAUUUUGAUCCAAAUAUGCCCUUGGUGCCACACUUUAUUAAUGCAGAUAUAACUCAUACUAGUGAGUGUCUGUUUUGGAGCCACUUGCCCUGCAUAAGUUAUUGGGUUUCACUGUUUAUCUUAGUUAAAAAAAAAGUUCCAUAUGCUCUGACCUGCUGACACCUAAGCCCUGCCUGUGCAGUUAAAACAGGAAAACUAGUUAUUUGAUAUCAUGAAGGCAAUUCAGCUGGUGGACAAACUCAAAUGUUUCCAUUUCCGAUGGAUUGUAAGGAACCAUAGAUUAUUCAUCAGGGAUGCUCAGGAGAAAAAUUGUUUCUUUUGUUUACUUGUUAAUUUCCAAAAUGAACCCAAUACAAAGAUGAUACAGCCAUGGUGCAUUUAUUUUUCAUUGUUAGCAUCUAUCAUUAUGUCAUUGCAUAAGAACUGCUCAAAUAAAUUGUUUUAAAAUCACGUGGAUGGCUUUAUGUCCUUUCUCCCACCUGCCUGCAGAGUUGCCUGAAAAAAGAAAAACAUGAGCGUCAGCCAGGCCACUGGGGUGAGGAGGCUGUUCACCGUGGGGGGGUGCCAGGCUAGCCUGGGU
This 5997-nucleotide long non-coding RNA is filed under the name Homo sapiens (human). RNAcentral's name for it is "HSALNT0383514". The record is from RNAcentral. Lineage: Eukaryota; Metazoa; Chordata; Mammalia; Primates; Hominidae.